CCUACGGGAGGCAGCAGUGGGGAAUAUUGGACAAUGGGCGAAAGCCUGAUCCAGCCAUGCCGCGUGUGUGAAGAAGGCUUUCGGGUUGUAAAGCACUUUCAGUGAGGAAGAACGCCUCUGGCUUAAUACGUCGGAGGGAAGACAUCACUCACAGAAGAAGCACCGGCUAACUCCGUGCCAGCAGCCGCGGUAAUACGGAGGGUGCGAGCGUUAAUCGGAAUUACUGGGCGUAAAGCGCGCGUAGGUGGCUUGAUAAGCCGGUUGUGAAAGCCCCGGGCUCAACCUGGGAACGGCAUCCGGAACUGUCAGGCUAGAGUGCAGGAGAGGAAGGUAGAAUUCCCGGUGUAGCGGUGAAAUGCGUAGAGAUCGGGAGGAAUACCAGUGGCGAAGGCGGCCUUCUGGACUGACACUGACACUGAGGUGCGAAAGCGUGGGUAGCAAACAGGAUUAGAUACCCUGGUAGUCCACGCCGUAAACGAUGUCGACUAGCCGUUGGGCUCCUUGAGAGCUUUGUGGCGCAGUUAACGCGAUAAGUCGACCGCCUGGGGAGUACGGCCGCAAGGUUAAAACUCAAAUGAAUUGACGGGGGCCCGCACAAGCGGUGGAGCAUGUGGUUUAAUUCGAUGCAACGCGAAGAACCUUAC
This 644-nucleotide ribosomal RNA is filed under the name uncultured Halomonas sp. RNAcentral's name for it is "bacterial SSU rRNA". It matches the Rfam family "Bacterial small subunit ribosomal RNA", at positions 338 to 974 of the family's 1533-position model. The record is from RNAcentral. Lineage: Bacteria; Pseudomonadati; Pseudomonadota; Gammaproteobacteria; Oceanospirillales; Halomonadaceae.